GAAAUGCGAUAAGUAAUGUGAAUUGCAGAAUUCAGUGAAUCAUCGAAUCUUUGAACGCACAUUGCGCCCGCCAGAAUUCUGGCGGGCAUGCCUGUUCGAGCGUCAUUUCAACCCUCGAGCCCCCCUUUCGGGGGGAGCCCGGCGUUGGGGACCCGGCGCUAACAACGCCGGCCCCGAAAUGGAGUGGCGGCCCGUCCGCGGCGACCUCUGCGUAGUAACAACCACUCGCACCGGGACCCGGGCGCGGUCACGCCGUAAAACACCCCACCUUCCGAAUGUUGACCUCGAAUCAGGUAGGAAUACCCGCUGAACUUAAGC
RNAcentral lists this unclassified non-coding RNA (318 nucleotides) under plant metagenome. RNAcentral's name for it is "partial contains 5.8S ribosomal RNA, internal transcribed spacer 2, and large subunit ribosomal RNA". The stretch from base 1 to 105 matches the Rfam family "5.8S ribosomal RNA", at positions 50 to 154 of the family's 154-position model. The record is from RNAcentral.